ACGCUCGACACCUACGGAGGCAGCAGUGGGGAAUAUUGCACAAUGGGGGAAACCCUGAUGCAGCGACGCCGCGUGGAGGAAGAAGGUCUUCGGAUUGUAAACUCCUGUUGUUGGGGAAAAANGGAUGGUACCCAACAAGGAAGUGACGGCUAACUACGUGCCAGCAGCCGCGGUAAUCUGAGCGGGCUGGCAAGGC
This 196-nucleotide ribosomal RNA is filed under the name uncultured bacterium. RNAcentral describes it as "partial 16S ribosomal RNA". It matches the Rfam family "Bacterial small subunit ribosomal RNA", at positions 328 to 539 of the family's 1533-position model. The record is from RNAcentral.